RNAcentral lists this ribosomal RNA (2093 nucleotides) under Vibrio cholerae. Its description in RNAcentral is "partial 23S ribosomal RNA". It matches the Rfam family "Bacterial large subunit ribosomal RNA", at positions 717 to 2797 of the family's 2925-position model. Lineage: Bacteria; Pseudomonadati; Pseudomonadota; Gammaproteobacteria; Vibrionales; Vibrionaceae. The record is from RNAcentral.
GAAACCGGGUGAUCUAGCCAUGGGCAGGUUGAAGGUUGAGUAACAUCAACUGGAGGACCGAACCGACUAAUGUUGAAAAAUUAGCGGAUGACUUGUGGCUAGGGGUGAAAGGCCAAUCAAACUCGGAGAUAGCUGGUUCUCCCCGAAAGCUAUUUAGGUAGCGCCUCGGACGAAUACUACUGGGGGUAGAGCACUGUUAAGGCUAGGGGGUCAUCCCGACUUACCAACCCUUUGCAAACUCCGAAUACCAGUAAGUACUAUCCGGGAGACACACGGCGGGUGCUAACGUCCGUCGUGGAGAGGGAAACAACCCAGACCGCCAGCUAAGGUCCCAAAGUAUUGCUAAGUGGGAAACGAUGUGGGAAGGCUCAGACAGCUAGGAUGUUGGCUUAGAAGCAGCCAUCAUUUAAAGAAAGCGUAAUAGCUCACUAGUCGAGUCGGCCUGCGCGGAAGAUGUAACGGGGCUAAGCAAUACACCGAAGCUGCGGCAAUGUCUUUUAGAUAUUGGGUAGGGGAGCGUUCUGUAAGCCGUUGAAGGUGAAUCGUAAGGUUUGCUGGAGGUAUCAGAAGUGCGAAUGCUGACAUGAGUAACGACAAAGGGGGUGAAAAACCUCCUCGCCGGAAGACCAAGGGUUCCUGUCCAACGUUAAUCGGGGCAGGGUGAGUCGACCCCUAAGGUGAGGCCGAAAGGCGUAAUCGAUGGGAAACGGGUUAAUAUUCCCGUACUUCUGACUAUUGCGAUGGGGGGACGGAGAAGGCUAGGUGGGCCAGGCGACGGUUGUCCUGGUUCAAGUGCGUAGGCUUGAGAGUUAGGUAAAUCCGGCUCUCUUUAAGGCUGAGACACGACGUCGAGCUACUACGGUAGUGAAGUCAUUGAUGCCAUGCUUCCAGGAAAAGCCUCUAAGCUUCAGAUAGUCAGGAAUCGUACCCCAAACCGACACAGGUGGUCGGGUAGAGAAUACCAAGGCGCUUGAGAGAACUCGGGUGAAGGAACUAGGCAAAAUGGUACCGUAACUUCGGGAGAAGGUACGCUCUUGAUGGUGAAGUCCCUCGCGGAUGGAGCUGACGAGAGUCGCAGAUACCAGGUGGCUGCAACUGUUUAUUAAAAACACAGCACUGUGCAAAAUCGCAAGAUGACGUAUACGGUGUGACGCCUGCCCGGUGCCGGAAGGUUAAUUGAUGGGGUUAGCGCAAGCGAAGCUCUUGAUCGAAGCCCCGGUAAACGGCGGCCGUAACUAUAACGGUCCUAAGGUAGCGAAAUUCCUUGUCGGGUAAGUUCCGACCUGCACGAAUGGCGUAAUGAUGGCCACGCUGUCUCCACCCGAGACUCAGUGAAAUUGAAAUCGCUGUGAAGAUGCAGUGUACCCGCGGCUAGACGGAAAGACCCCGUGAACCUUUACUACAGCUUGGCACUGAACAUUGAACCUACAUGUGUAGGAUAGGUGGGAGGCUUUGAAGACGUGACGCCAGUUGCGUUGGAGCCGUCCUUGAAAUACCACCCUUGUAUGUUUGAUGUUCUAACUUAGACCCGUUAUCCGGGUUGAGGACAGUGCCUGGUGGGUAGUUUGACUGGGGCGGUCUCCUCCCAAAGAGUAACGGAGGAGCACGAAGGUGGGCUAAUCACGGUUGGACAUCGUGAGGUUAGUGCAAUGGCAUAAGCCCGCUUAACUGCGAGAAUGACGGUUCGAGCAGGUGCGAAAGCAGGUCAUAGUGAUCCGGUGGUUCUGUAUGGAAGGGCCAUCGCUCAACGGAUAAAAGGUACUCCGGGGAUAACAGGCUGAUACCGCCCAAGAGUUCAUAUCGACGGCGGUGUUUGGCACCUCGAUGUCGGCUCAUCACAUCCUGGGGCUGAAGUCGGUCCCAAGGGUAUGGCUGUUCGCCAUUUAAAGUGGUACGCGAGCUGGGUUUAGAACGUCGUGAGACAGUUCGGUCCCUAUCUGCCGUGGGCGUUGGAAGAUUGAAGGGGGCUGCUCCUAGUACGAGAGGACCGGAGUGGACGAACCUCUGGUGUUCGGGUUGUGUCGCCAGACGCAUUGCCCGGUAGCUAAGUUCGGAAUUGAUAAGCGCUGAAAGCAUCUAAGCGCGAAGCGAGC